ACUCAAAUGAAUUGACGGGGGAAGGCACAAGCAGUGGAGCAUGUGGUUUAAUUCGACGCUACGCGAAGAACCUUACCCACUCUUGACAUCCCGAGAACCCCCUAGAGAUAGGGGGGUGCCCGGAAGGGAGCUCGGUGACAGGUGUUGCAUGGCCGUCGUCAGCUCGUGUCGUGAGAUGUUGGGUUAAGUCCCGCAACGAGCGCAACCCUUAUCGUCUGUUGGAUUUUUCAGGCGAGACUGCCGGCGACAAGCUGGAGGAAGGUGGGGAUGAUGUCAGGUCAGCAUGGCCCUUACGAGUGGGGCUACACACGUGCUACAAUGGCCGCCACAACGAGUCGCGAAGCCGCGAGGCCAAGCUAAUCUCCCAAAAGCGGUCCCAGUUCGGAUAAGAGGCUGCAACUCGCCUCUUUGAAGUCGGAAUUGCUAGUAACCGUGGGUCAGCAUACCGCGGUGAAUACGUUCUCCUUCCUUGUACACACCGCCCGU
Molecule: ribosomal RNA, 486 nt
Filed under: uncultured bacterium
Lineage: Bacteria
Description: partial 16S ribosomal RNA
Rfam family: Bacterial small subunit ribosomal RNA
Source: RNAcentral